UUUUUUUUUUUUUUUGGGGUUAAACGAAGAAGAAGAGAAUUUUGAUACCAAUUCAAUCCUCACAUGCAAUGUUGGGUGAUACACAAUGUUUUAAAAAUCCCCGUCUAGAACCUCGUCUUCACCGUUUCUAUCUAGAGAGCUAGAAAAUCGAUUACUCUUUAUCCCCCGAUUAACCCGCCUAAGCGUUAAUCACUGGUUGUCCGCCGACUAGCGCCUAUCAUUUUUUAAAAAUUGGUGAUACGUACCGAAAAUGUUAGUAAGUACAACCUUGUUCUAGCGGAAAUACAAAUUUUUCUACCCCUGUCAUCUCUCGGGUAGCAGAGAAUACUCUAGUUUCAUCAUCCAAAAGCCGAAUCUGCUCAUAAACGUUUUAGAGAGAAUGAGAAACCUUAUGCUCCGGCCAUUGGCUGACACAGCCGGCCCUUGACUUAUCUCUGAGUUUUGUUUUCCGUUGUUUUUAACACGACAUGAUCAAAACAGCAUUGGCAUGGCCUUCUCUCAACAAAACCAAAGGUCUCUCGCAGGCCUUCUUUAUUUUUUGGGUGAUAUAUUAGUGUCUUUGUCUGACUUCGAUUACAAUAUAAUGGAAGCGCACAACGUUUGAAUUGUUGCUCAAAUCCAGCAAAAACUAAUGGCUUUGUUGUUUAACGUUAAAUACGGAAAAUAAUGUUGAUUAUUUGUGAUGGAUUUUGACUUGUACAUGUUGAAUUUUAUCAAAAACGUCAAAACAAGAUGCUGGAAACCUGAAAUUAAGCCAGCUCUGUUUUAUUUUAUUGGUCAAAUAAAUUAAACGUGAGAUUCUGGAAAACAUGAAUGAGACAGAGAUUACAAGAAUAGAGAAAUAUUUCCAUCUGUGAAAUAAAAAACUUGGUCAAUUUUAUGAUGAACUUAUUCCAUGAUUUCCAUUGCUGGUACCGGGCGAGGUGGAUGACAGAUUAGUCCAAAAAGAAAAGUAUGUAGAAGAUGAGAUUUGCCACAAAUUAGUACUGUGAUCGAGGGCGUGCCGCUUGUCCUUGACGACAGGAUAAUGUGGCAUCGAUUUUCAAAAGCUGGGUGGUCUGAGACUGCAAUGCACGCUUCUGCCUCUGCUUUUCUAUUCAUUUCUUUUCACCAGAUAAAGAACCCGAUGCUUAAUUUCACUGUCUUUCUUGAAUCAAAUUCACAGCCUGCUACAGUCUUACUCAUAUAAAGGAGACCAAAUGGUGAUGGUAUUUCAUGAUAAUUUUGAUGAAAUAUUUAUCAAAUUAAAUAAAUAAAUAAAAAAACAUGAUUCUCACCGGUUAUUAGAUUAAAAAGAAUUUCACCUAUGGAAAAUAUUUGUGUAUCGAAAUACCAUAUCGAUUAUGUACAAUAAAAAAUAAACACAUGCAUGAUCGAAAGACAUGAACGACACGAAUCAAAAUGAUUAUAUAAGUAAAAAAACCUCAAAAUAUCUGUUUUUUUGUCAUGCAUAGUAAUGGUGCCAGACACCAGUGAUAAAUUGUCGCAAAGUAGCGAGAAUUAGAGACUAACGAUCUGCUUUGUGAGGGUUUCUUGCACCAUUGAUAAAUGCCCAAGCCAUAACGGCUAGUGUUUAGUGAAUGAUAAGAGAGACGAAGAGUCAUCAUUAUAUUUUUUAGAAAUAGUAUUGUUCAAUAAAACAACCUUGUCGCACUCUAUAAAUACACAAGAAAAUAACAUUUUUAUUUCUUAACUACGCUUCUAAAAGAUCAAACUUGAAGAUGAUCUAAUUCACAACUCAAUUAUUUGACUAAACAUUGAAAAUGAUAUUCACAACUCAUUUCCUUUUUUAUUUUUAUUUUUAAAAUCACAACUAGCAUAUUGGGUUAAGGAAACCCUUGGUUUAAACAGGAUUAUAAUGUAGAAAAAAAUUUAUGUAAGGUUUUUCCUACCACGUGACAGUGGGGCAACCUUUUACGUAGCGUGCCUGUAUUGAGACAUUAUCUUCAAAAUUUGGCCGUAUGGUACAGCAGUGCAGCCGUAUAGUAGUGUUCUGUAGUCCUGUACCAUGACACCAAACACCUCGUGAAAAGUGAAUACCACGACAUAAAUGAAUAAACGUACACACACCCACUACCCUUGCAUCAUCAUGUGAAUGCUUUCAAAUACCACCCCACCAUAAUUUCCAUUAUUUCUUUCUAGAUCUCUCUCAUUUCCAUUAUUGAAAAAACAGAUCCGAAAUCUGGCGCCAAAAGGCGGGUAGAUAUUAAAUGAAAGAAAGGGUACGGCCACGUGGAAACGUGGAAGCCAAGGCCCAAACGGGGCAACCCAACUUGACAGACCUAAAUCAAAUCUAAUCCAACGACCCGUCGGCUUUUUAUCAAAACAGCGGCUGCCCUACGCACUCGACGUGUCGGCAGCACCGCUUUGCCACGUGUCCGUCUUUCUUCUAGAUUCUGCGGUCGGCGCGCAUGGAUUUUGGCGCGCCGAAUCGAAGGAUUGGAGGGAAAUGUGGAUCGGGCUGUCGCCCACCCAAAUUUUUGGUGGUUUGCUUAAUCGCUGUUGACAUGUCGUUUGAUUCGAGAAUUCGAGAAAGGCGUCGGCUUUUGGACUUUUGUGUUACACACUCUAAUUGAAGAUUUUAGAGAGACGACUUAGAAAUUCUCUAUAGUCAAACGUGUAUAUGUUCACUAAUGACAUCCUACAUGAUUGUGAUUCUUGAGAAACAAAAACAAGAUAAAAGAUAGCCAAUUGAGAUCAUGAGUUUGUUUACGGUUGAUAAAAUAAAAAAUGAUAUGGAAUAUGCAAAUCUGAUCCUAUGCUAUAUUGUUGUUGUUUAUGAUCUUAUCAUGAUGUCAUCCAAUAUUUACCAUUUCAAACAUGAAUAAUUUUUUAGUACUAAUAUUUUCGUCCUUGAAAACAGUAGAUUAGUUGCCUAAAACAUCACCUGAUAGUGAACUAUAAACCAAAUAAUUAAAUUCAAUAAAUUGCUUAGGCUAAAGAGCCUGAUAUCCAUGUGUUACAACAACCCUUGACAUUAGAGCAAACCACUACCUUAACGGGGGAAGUCACACUCCAUAACCUAGAUAUCAUAUCACCACUAGGCCAAACAAACAUCCCAAAGCGCGACUUAAAAUAUUUUCCUUCUAGUUCAUAAACCGGUGUAUCAAAAGCAUCAUCAUACCCAACUAAAAUGCACGACCUAUCUCUACACGACUACGCCCGGACCCAACUCCUCCUAGCACAUAACCAUUCCCAUACCGCCACACGUAGCCCUUGCUAAAGAUCUUAUCCCGAUCGCCGGUGCAAUCAUGCUCGAGACCGACACUAUCAGCCCCACAUCACAAACCAAUAUGGUCCGAGCCUAAUCUUAAUAUCUUCCAACCAUUACCGUAGUCGUCACUCAAACCGAGACAACGUAUAUCGACAUUUUAUCUGAGUAUGAGCACUACGGUCAUUGUGAAAACUAAGUUUAAGAACAUGGUAUCUUGCUGUAAUAAACUGAACCCUAUUAGUUGUUCAAUCUGAUGAUACUAAUAAUCUAGUAUUUAUCUAUCUAAAGUUUAAAAGAUAUUUGUCUAACGGGAUCCUAAUAUCCCUAAUGCUUGAUUAAUAAAAGAAACUUCAUAUUUUACCGGCAAUCAGUUUAUUUUAAGAAACAACAGCAGUCAUUAUCAGUAGUCACAACAUCAACCACCCAAUUAGGUCUUCCAAUUUCCAGAAAAUAAUACGUAAUCAAUUACCUACAACCUUUCCUCUUACACCGGUCUUUAUUGAAAAAGUCAGUCUCACCUCCCCGUCAAUUCCACGUCUGCAACCCUAAAUCGAAUCCAAACUCCCCGUUCUAAAACACCCAAAAUCGACAAUACCCAAACCACCCUCGCUAUUACCAAGAAUUACAUCCUCUUCAUCCAUCAAAAUGGAUCUGUCAUGGUCAAGCCGAGCCGAGAUAAAAGAAAAUGACGCCGAGAUUGACUAGGCAAGUGGGCCAAAACCCAACUGACCCGGACCUGCACCCGAAAUUCAAAUCAAAUUAAUAGAAAAAAAACAGAUAAAUGAGAGGAAAUUUAAAAAAAGAAAAGGCAAGGCGUCCGUGAUGGCCUAAGUAUUCGAACCCACGCGCCCGCGUCACCAUCACCACCCACACUUUCCCUAUCUCUCUCUACUUUCUCUCUCUACAUUGUCCCCCUAUAUAUACCAACCGCUUCUCUCCUCGCUUUUCCACACCACCACCACCACCACUGCUUCUACAAUCAUCUCAAAAAUCUCUCAUUCCGAUUUUUAAUGGAAGACACGAAUAUCAAGAAGCGAGUUCGGGACUACGAGUCCGACUCGGUCGAAGCGAAGCGGCUACGAGAAGACCUACUGGAGGACUUCCUUGACGAUUCCGAUUCCGUUCCGGCGAGUCACGACCUCGACUCGUUCAUGAAGAGCUUCGAGGAAGAGAUCUCCGCUACUAAUUCUUGCUCGACGUCGCCUCGUCCGGCGCCGGAAUCUUCCGCCGCUCCGGUGGUGGUCGAUCUGACGUCGGAUUCCGGCGAGUCCAAUCCGGAUCUCACGCACCUUCUAGAAGCGUCGGAUGACGAGCUCGGCCUUCCCCCGUCCGAAGGGUUCAGCGGCGAGGCGGCGAACGACAGGGAGUCUGAGUUGGUUAGAGUGUCGUCUGACUCGUCCGGGAUCGGCGAGUUAUGGCGGUUUGACGACCAGGGUCCGAGUUACGACUCGUUCGAGUUGAAUGCCGGAGCUGGUAGUAACUUUGAUGAUAGCGGUUACGUGGCGUUUGAUGGGCUGUUCGAGCACUCAGAUGUGUAUUUUGAAUCGUCUGAUUACUCCGAUUUUUCGUGGCGCUUCGAAACGCCGCCUGCGGAGUAGAGGAUGAAACGAUUCGUUUUACGGCAAAUGGAACAUUAUACAGAUCUGUAAAUUCUUUUUAAUUUUUUUAAAAAGGUGGUUAGAAAUAUGUAGAACCAGAAUGAUAAUCUGAUAUUAAAUUAGGAAUUAUGAACAACAAAAGAGAAAGAUUGCCUUGUUGCACUCCAGGAAUUAGGUUCGAUCAAUUCCACCGGUAAUUUUUCUCGGUAAAACUGUAAUUACGUAAUUCGGAGAAUAUUGACAGAACAUGAAGAAUAUUGUUGUGUUUACUCAUGUGUGGCAUGGUAAAAGGACCUUGAUAACAAUUAUAUUAGAAAAAUUAAUGUUUGUUUAGUUUCUAAAGUUUUAAUGCUUCAUUGUUGAUGAGUAGGAUAUGGGACCUGUCACAUAUAAAAUGAAUGAGUUAUGUCAUUUGUUAGGUUACUCUAGUUGUACCUAAUUACCCAUACCAAAAGAAACCCUUUUAUAUCAUCCCCUGUCUCUUUUUAUAUCUCAUCUUCUGACUAUACAUCAACAUCACCACUGUGGUGAAUUUUUUGCUACAUGAUCAAUAUUGGCAAGAUUUGGUAGCUGGGUGUACAUAUUCAAUAAUUAUUCUGUCUUCAUCCAAAUAUACUCACGAUGUAAAUGAGAUUUAAAUACGUGAUAUUUAUAUAUAACAGGAUGGUCAAACAAAUUAACUAUUAGAAAAAAGUGUGGUUUAGGUAUUAGUCAUUUGGAAUCUCAUAUUGGAAACGUGAAAUAGUCAUUCUUAGGUUAUAAGAAAUGAUAUCACACACACUAAUGUCGAGACCUUUUGUAUAAAACAUCAUACUCGUUUCUUCACUGGGUGGUUAAAAUGAGAGGAGUAUCGACAUUAUUGAACCCGUGUGUAUGAGACCAAUGGGGACCGUUGGCCGCUUUCGCAUAACAUUAACCACAACUCACCAAUAAUUUUGGAGUUGAUUAAUAUAGUUAUUUGACAUUUUUGAUAAAUUUUGCAUUAGUUUGAGUAAUAUUUGUUCAAUUUUCAACAUCUUCGUAGAUAAUCCAAGCGAAACGUUUGGACAAAAGAAGGGGAAAGACAUUGAAACUAGAUAGAAGGCUGAGUUUAUAUGAUCUUUAAAUCAGGAAGGCGGUCGAGUAUCUCCACGCUUUCUCGCUUUGUUUAACUUCUUUUUUUUUUUUUAAUUAAAUAAUUUUUAAGAUGAACACAUUAAUGAUAAGGAGAUAUGAUAGUUGAUAGAUGCUCAAAAGUUGUUUCAGAUAGCAGUUGGAAAGCAAUAUACCGGUAUCGUAAGCACAACAGCUUUCUCCAGUUGGUGGUUGCAAUACAAAGGUAAACUUAAGAAAAUGCAUCCUCCACACUAUUCAUCUAAAUAGUAGAUUUCAUAACCAAAUCACCUCCGACCAAUAAGUUGUCAUAUGACAUAAUUGUGAAAAUGUUAUGGAUGGGGUGGUCCAAAAAUCGAAUGUAAUUGUGAAGUUAAACAGUUAGGUUUCAUGUUCUCUUCAUGUUUUAAAUAAGAAACGUUACUUAGGUGUCGUUCAGUAUUGUUUUGAGAUACCGUUUUCCUUAUUUUAGAUUCAGAAACAAUGGUAAUUUACGUUCGGUUCCAUGCAUUUCGAAAACAAAGAAAAUGGUUUUCGUAGUACAACUCUAAACCACUGUAUGAUUUGUGAAAAUGACUUUUUCUCGUUCUCAUUGUUUUCCAAAUACAAUCCCCGCGCAACUCUUGGUUACUCAUAAUCUCCUGUCUCCUCCAAGCUCUCUGUUUUCAUUGAUAGACUUGUGAAAUCUCGAACCUGUUUAAAAUAAUUUAUCUAAACUAUAUACAUAUUUGUGUGUGUGUACUUGUUCGUUUUAGUAACGAAAGUAAAAGUUCCCUUAUAACUAAACAAAAGAUACUACUUCAAAUAAAUAGAAUGUUUUAUAUUUCAUGUUUGUGUUACAAAGUAUCAAAUAGACCUUAUAGGCUUAUAUACAUCAUUUGUGCUAAAAAGAGAAAAGAAAAGAAGUAGUGUUUAUUUGUUGUUAUCUUUGGUACAUAAAUUACAUAUAGCUGCAAGGUAUUAGACAUUUGAUAUUAGCACAUGUUUUCUUAAGCUAUAUUAGAUCAUGUGUUAUAUUUGUAAACUUGUGCUUCAUGAUUUCCUUGAGUAUUACUGAUUCCAAAAGCUUCCAACAAGCUUUGCCCUCCUUCAUGUGUUAUUUUUAGAUAAAGCCAUUUGAUUAAACUUGCAGCAUUUUACACAUCAACAAAUCAGAAAAAAAAAGAAGAUAAUUACACAUGAUAUUAUUUUGUUCUACUUGCUGAUUUACCUAAUAGAAAGCUUGUGUGUGUGACACAAAGUUACACAUGUUUUACACUUUUUACCCUAUACCAAAGUGUGCAGCCACACUUUUUCUUGUGUUUUACAUAUAGUUGCUGAAUAAGCAGCUUAAAACUUAGUCUCCAAGUAGAAAAUAGUUGUUGGCAGAUAAAGAUAAACUUCAAGAGAUUUUUAUAAACAUAGCUGGCAGCAAAUUACAUUAAGUUAAGCUAUAGGUCUAAUGAUUCAUUCACAAGUAUAAAUAGAGGUCUUCACAUGAAGUAGUAACAAUUAGAGAAGUUCAGAAGUUAGAAAUAAAGUCAGGAGAUAAAAUUUAGAAUAGAAAAAAAAGACUAGUAGAGGUAUGAAGCAAGUAGUAAAGUUUCAGAUUUGGUAAAACAUGUUUGAGGUAGAGGAAAUUAUGGGGAAUCUCAAGUUUUGUUUUAUAAACUUGUUAUUUGUUUUAAGUUGUUUAUAUUGUUGCGGAAUGUGGUUAUUAUGUUUAGCUUUUCAUCAAGUUAUUAUCUGAUCAUAUGUUAAAUAAGAAAUGAAUAAAGUUAUGAGGUUGAGGCUAUUACUUGAAAAAGACAAGCAAUGUAUGCCUUUGUGUACAUGUAGGGAAAGAAACCAUUUCAAUGUUAUAUUGAUUAAACGAUCUUAUGGUAAGAAGACACCGGUGACCAAUAAUAGUACAAGAGUACCAAUAACUAAAACUUAAAAUAUGUGUAUACAUGUUUAGCAUAGUGAAAUUAUAUGGAUGAGAUUUGCUUUACCGAGUCUUUUGGCUCACCCCUUUAUGAAUUUGUGCAGAUGUUACACUUGAGGGAUAAGACUUGAUGUCUAGAAAGAAUUGAAGUUUAGGAGGAGGAGUGAAUCUAUAGCUUGCUGUAUUUAAUUCUUGUUUGUGUAAUAAGACUUAUUCUAUAAACUUACUUUCCUGUUUGUUGUAAGAACAAGAGUUAUGAAAUGAAUUUCUCUUUUACUAAAUCACUGUGAUUAUAAGUUUUCCACAUAGAUUCUAUUUGCCAAGGGUUAUCUUAUAUUUGACAAGUCGAAGUAACUCACAUCUUUACCCGAAAAAUAUAUAUAUAUAUAUAUAUAUAUAUUAUUAAUUUCCGGAUCAGGGUUGGACAAGACUUGAGUACCCUCUCCUAAAAACCAUCGUUUUCCUGUCCUACGUAGUUUCCAUUCACAAAUCUCUUCCUGUAACUUUUUCUUUCUGGAUCUGUAGACUCUGUCUAUCGAUCAAUUGAAACAUUCAAAAUGCCACAUAAUUAAGACAGAGAGAAGAUAUAUACAUACACAAAUAUAUGGAACCCAGAAAUUUCCUGGCCUCCUUGUCCCAUUCCUUUUCUAAUUGGUCAUGAGAUAAAGCUAAGAAUUUCCAGAGGUAUGUAGUGACUUGUAGUGACUGCUGGUAUUGGAUUGAUUCUGAAUAUGGACUUGUGAUUUGUGUCUGUGCGUGGCUUUGUACUGUGCAUGCUUUGAUUAUUUGAUAUAUUGUCUUGCCAACACAUGGUGGUAUUUGGGGGAUAGUCGGAUAGAUAGAAGAAAGGCUGACAGGUGUGGAGGAAGAAGACAGAGCCUUGCUGUAUUACGUUAAAAGUCUCUUAAGAUGAUAUGAACAAGAUUUAGGUUAUGAAUUUGUUUCCUAAAAGUUGACGGUUGUCACCGAACACAUUCUCAAGAUAAGAAAAUGUAAAAUACAAUCUAUUGCUUUUGUUUUGCAAAAUGUCUUUUAAAAAAUAGUUUCGUAAAACAUUACCGUAAUUUGCAAACUCAAAAUUGAUCCUUGAGGUUCUAUCAAGCAAAUUGAAGAUGAUCAUUCUUAAAAAAAGAAAAAGAAAAAAAGAAAGACCCAAUUCAAUUGGAGACGAGCUGCACUUUGAUGGGCUACAAAAAUAGAUUGAGCCCAAUCCAGGUAACUGAAACAAGUUGCCUCUUAAGGGCCCACAUUGGCGGUGGAUCAAGCGGCGUGAUCCAAACCUGCAUCGACACCACCUCAGAGAUUAAAUUUAACAGCCAAAAAUUUCCAAGAGUCCUUAUCAGACACAAAAAUCUAGCUCAUUAUAUUCACCAGUUCCCAACGCAACCAACGCGCGCUCUCUCAAAACCUCAAACUCACGCUCCGAUUUUACACCGCAAUAUCUAAAUCAACGCCCUAUAUACUCGCGUGCUCUGAACUCUCCUCUUAGCGAGUACACUGAUCUACCACAUAGCCUUUCAUAUAUAAACCCUGAAAUUCGGGUUUUUUUUUCUUUAUUGCUCCUGCUCCACUUUACUUGCGCAUUCGGCUUCUCUAAACUUUUUCAGAUCAGAAGCUUGGGGACUUUUCACGGCGGCGAUUCAGUCGGAGAAGAUGAAGAUCUUCGUGAAGACUCUCAAGGGGACUCACUUCGAAAUCCAAGUCCAGCCUCAGGACUCGGUUUGCCUCAAUCCUUCUCAAUUUUCUUUCUGAUUUUUUAGUUAAUUUCUUGGGCUGUGAUUCGCGACGAGCAUUAUGAUCGUAAUUGAAAUUUUUCUAGGGUUUCGUUCUCUUAGUUCUGUAUGAAUCGUAGUUUGGGCAUAUGGAUAUGAUUUUUGACCUUGGAUUGUGCUCCCGAGUGUUUCGGAUGAAUAGGAGUUAGGUUUUUGCUUCUAAUUUUUGAAUUUAGAAUCUGAUUACUGCGAUCUCGUUGAGAAGUUACUCCUUCUGAUUUGAGUUUUGGUGUGAAUUUGGUGUACUAUAAUUUGCUAGUUCUACAGUAAACAAAUCGAGUGUAAUUUUGAUUUUACUUUGCCUUAUGCUGUGCAAAUUUUACUGUGAGGCUGUUUAAUUCAACUUACGAUAUGCGUGAUGACGAACGACUGCUCUUUAUAGGUUGUUGAUGUGAAGAAGUCAAUAGAAACUUCUCAAGGUUUGACUGUGUAUCCCGCUGCACAACAGAUGCUAAUCCAUCAAGGGAAAGUACUUAAGGAUGACACAACAUUGGAAGAAAACAAAGUUUCGGAGAAUAGCUUUGUUGUGAUAAUGUUGACGAAGGUAUUUUUCUUUUCCACUCGGUAAUUUAGAGUACUGAAGGAUUACGUGCAUGUGGUGGUGCUGUAUCAAGUACUUUAGAUUAUGAUAAAGAAUGAUGACAAUUUGUUACCUUGCUCAAUUCCGUCUUACUAGUUUGUUACUGACUUUGUACGCUUAAAAUGCUAGAGUAAGAGCUCAUCUAGUGAGGGUUCAAGUGCGUCAACUGCGGCUACGACUAAGGUAAGAAUAGCACCUCUAUCAUCAUUCUUUUCGAUGGUCUGUGUUUUCUGGUGUUUGAGUGGAAAAGAAGAGCAUCAGUCCUCUAACCUUUUUGAUAAAUCGAUAGAUCUAUGUUGAUUUUCUUUCAUUCAAUUUUUUUUUUCUUGUUUAUUCAAAUCAACAUCUAUUUGUCUGGGUGUGGAAGAGAACCUUUCUAUUCAGAGUCAGUGAAGUAAACAAGCGUGAUAACCCGGAUUGGUUCAGAAUUGCAUUGGAGCAUUCUUGUUUUUGCUUGAAUUGAACCGUUUCGUAUAGUUUAUGUUUGAUAUAUUAUUUUUUUUGGUUUGUGCUCAUUCACAGCAUUGUAAUGGUGCUUAAAUCAGGCAGAGUUCUGCAUACACUGAUCAUUCCAUAGCAUCAGUACCUAUAGUUUCAGAUUUUGAUGCUUAAAUUUGUUGCUUGAGAUAGGCACUCCUAUUAUGGUUAUAUGGGCUUUCUGUAAAGGAUGUUUUGAUAGCUGAAAAAUAACAGGGUGGUGAUCAUCUUACAAGUUUCAAAGCCUCAUCUUUCGUUACUUAGUUAAUUACUAUCUCAUGUAUCUGAUGCUUCUUCGAUAUGAAAAUAAUCUAUUUAUUUUUGUUUUUUUAGGGUGUAAAUGUACAUGGAUUUUUAGUGUUCAAUUAUUCAGGAAGAUAUCCCUUGUACAAUAUAAAAAUUUUGACACGGUAUUUACCUACUAAUGUAUGCAUUUAUUUUGGUGCAGGCCCCACAGCCCAGUACACCUUCACCUGCUCCAACUGUGACAUCCACGACACCUCAGGCUCCUGUCUUAACGUUAGCACCUUGAGUCUAAGAUAUAUUGCUCCAUUCUUUUGUAUACAUUUGUAGUUGUAUAUAAACAAUCUAAAUCUGUUACAAUUCAUUUGACAUCUGUAAUAUUCUUUAUUAUUCAGGCCGGCAUCAGUUACCACACCAGUUUCUGGCCCUUCGGCAGCAACAGAGUGAGUAUUUCAUUGCUUCUGGUGGUGCUAUCAGUUUAAAAAUGGAGCACAGGCCUUGUUUUUGUAUACAUUUGUAGUUGUAUAUAAACAAUCUAAAUCUGUUACAAUUCAUUUGACAUCUGUAAUAUUCUUUAUUAUUCAGGCCGGCAUCAGUUACCACGCCAGUUUCUGUCCCUUCGGCGGCAACAGAGUGAGUAUUUUAUUGCUUCUGGCGGUGCUAUCAGUUUAAAAAUGGAGCACAGGCCUUGUUUCUUCCCGCACAUGUCUUCCCCACUUACUUGCCGUAUAAUAUAUCUUCUGUCUUAUAAAUCAUCAUAACUGUUCAAGCAGUUUGGACUAUGGCCAAGCAGCAUCUGAUCUGGUAGCUGGAAACAAUUUGGAGGGAACAAUUCAGCACAUUCUGGACAUGGGUGGAGGAACCUGGGACAGAGAUACUGUUGUACGUGCUCUUCGUGCUGCGUUCAACAACCCAGCUAGAGCAAUUGAUUACUUGUAUUCAGUAAGUGAAGAAAUUACAAUGACAAACUUAUAAAUUGCUUUACUUUCUUUUAAGUGUACAUGUUCUAGACCGUUUUAGUAAAUAUGUUUGAAUAAUAGACAUAAAAAUGUAGUGACUUUUGACGUGAAAAAGUUUGUUAUCUGUGCUAUUGUGGGUAUCUCUUCCUUUUGAUGAUGUAAAUUUGACAUUUCUUGAAGGGUAUCCCUGAGCAACCUGAAGCUCCAGCUGCAGCUCCUACUCGUGUGAGUGGUGAAGCUGCAAACGUUUCAGCUCCCCAAUCAGCACAACCAGCAUCUGUUCCUUCAACAGGACCUAAUGCCAACCCUUUAGACCUCUUCCCACAGGUAACCCUUUAGACCUCUUCCCAGAGGUCCUUAUCAUGCAGCUACUUAGAUAAAUUAUGACGAGAACUUCUUAGUGGUAUACUUAUCUUUAAUGACAACAGGGUCUUCCGAACCUGGGUGCUGCUGCCGGCGCUGGUGCCGGCACAGGUGUAGGUGAUCUUGAUUUUCUGCGUGACAGCCCACAGUUCCAAGCAUUGCGAGCUAUGGUGCAGGCUAAUCCACAUAUACUGCAGGUUUGCCUUCCCCGCCCUGGUCCCCCUGCGGGACUGUGUUUUCUUCCCCUUUUUUCUUUCAUCCCUCAUUCUUCUUUACUGGUCGCAGCCUAUGCUUCAAGAGUUGGGAAAACAAAAUCCUCAGCUUGUAAGGUUAAUUCAACAACAUCAAGCUGACUUCCUUCGCCUGAUUAAUGAACCUGUAGAAGGUGGAGAAGGGUGAGAGCUUAUCAUAUUAGCUUUUAUAAGGGGAUGUAUAUGUUUGCUAAACAAUAAUGGAUGCUCAUUUAUCAUUUGUUUAGGGAUGUGUUGGGACAACUGGAUGCAGCAAUGCCACAAGCAAUAACUGUCACUCCCGAGGAGCGUGAAGCCAUAGAACGUGUAAGUUAACACUACUCUCAAGCGUCCAAUCAUUAGUGAAUGUCGAGCAGUGAUGUGAAAACUAAUAUCAGUUUUGUUUCAUCUUUUGGGAAAGUGAAGUGAGCUAGUUAUUUUAAUUAUCCAAUUUGUAAUAAUGUACUUUGCACAAUUGCAUCAGAUGAGUAUAUUGGACAAUUCAGCAUCAAGUCCAGAUGCUCAAUUUUUAUAUUUCUGUUCAGAAACUCUAAUUUGCUUGUUAUGGCCAACAUAUCUACUUUUUCUGAUUGUGAUCGUAAGAGAAUCCUAGAGUCUUUUGACUUUAUAUUCUGUUGCUUUUAAAGAUGAUGAUUUUUCUUUUUCCUUGCCAGCUUGAAGCGAUGGGCUUUGAUAGAGCACUUGUAUUGGAGGUGUUCGUUGCAUGCAACAGGAACGAAGAAUUGGCUGCAAACUACCUCUUAGAUCACAUGCACGAGUUUGAGGAUUGAUCAAAGGUAGAUCAGUGGUUCAACCCUCUCCAUCAGAAAAGGGGGAAAAGAAGAAUCUAAGAAUCCUUCAUCUUGUGGCUUCCUACCCUUUCUCUAAUUUUAUUGCAUAUUUUCACAUUUAGCUGUUUUUGAAGUUUGGAGCGUCGGUGAUAUGGAUUGUUUAUAGGAUUGUUUAUGGUCUAAAAUGAACACGUAGUCUCUCUACCUUGUCUACUCAUCAUUUCUCAGAGUACAAAUUGAUUUUUUUUUCCUUUCCUAAAUACUUAAAAGCCUGAUUUUAACAAAACUGAAUGAAUGUAACCAAAUAAUUAGAAAAUUGAAGAUUCCUUUGGCUGGAGAUUCAGUUUUAUUCCGUAUGCAUUUUUUUUUUCAAGCUUUUAAUGAAGUGAAAAGACUGGACGACCGGUGAUAUGAGUACGAUAGGACAAUAUGCUCCGAGACGUCGACACAAGAGACAGGAAAUGGUAGAUUUUUGUCAUCGUGAAUUCAUGAUUUUUUUUAGUAUCAUGGUCCAAAUAUAGUCACAAAUCACAAUCCGGAAUGAAACAGGGUGGGAACGCAUGGUUUUUGGUAGACAGUCAUCGUCACAUGGCUCAAAGAUGAAUAAGAGGAACCAGUUAACAAAGACUAAUGCCGUUCUCCUCCGACUCUCAAUAAUGUGUGCUUGCAUGGUUAGAGUUCACUAGCAAGUCUGGUCGACAUGUACAACGGAAUGGUGGACGUAUGAAAGGCUGAAAGCUCAAACCCGACAUAUUUUCUAGAGACUCCGGUUUUGCAAUUCACCGAGAUCUCUAGCUUAAGGGAUAUGGAUGCCCAAAACAUUGAAAACUGAAAGGAACCGACGAGACAAUGGGGUGAGCGUCAGGGCUUGGCGCUGUGAUGUGAUAAUAGGACUCGUCAAAAAGGGGCAGGAACAUUUUGAACUCAAAGUUGUACACUAGCUUAUUGUCAUAGUCUGAAGUGUGCUCAAUUCAAAUCACUUCAUUUUCAAAUAUCAUAUUUGUCUUUUCAAGUCUAUCCGGAACUUGAAGUGCACUAGUGAGUGCGUUUCAGCAUUGGCCUUUCUGUUCUUAUAUGAGUUCUGUCAUGAUCUUACAAAUGCUCUAGAAAAGAGCCACUCUGCAUAGUACCUACGGCAACUUUGUCCCACAAGCACUAGAGGAGUUUUGCAUAGUGAGUUAAGGCACGUUUGGCUUGGCGAUCAUAGGUCUGAUAUAUCGAAACGCCGAAUCAUCGAUAUUUAGAGCAGAAGGAGCCAAUCAAGGAGUCGGUCAGGGAUAAGUGGGUUGUUUUUGACCAAGCGCGCGAGCUGUAGCAGGAGACGAGAGGGAACAUACAGCAAUCUCUAGGAUUCUAUCUCUGUAAUUCUUCAUUUUUCAUGAAUUCUUUAUGAUAUGCAAUAGAAACAUUUACUGAACGUUAUCUUCAAUCACUGUACGUUCGCAUAAUCCAGAUUUUGAUGAGAGCGGAGCUGUAACGCUGUUACUGAUAUUUAGGGUUGUGUUGCAGCUGGCUUAUCACUAAAACUGACUCAUAUUUCUAAAUUGGCAUCCAGUGUUCUUCUGUUUCAGUGAUUGAAAUGGACUUGUAACCAGUGGAAUGGAUGAUGAUCGAAAAGAAAAAAAAAGAAUUGCAUUGCGUAGCGAAAGGCAUAUUGAAUUCGAUCUCCAAUGUUUAGUACCUACCGUGCAUAUUGCAGCUGCAACUUAAAACAUUCCUUAGAACAUCAAAACUCAGAGAAGGAUAAAGAAGCUAAAACGUUCCAUUUUUAUAAAUAAUCACAAAGAUCUGUGUCACUUUCUUCUGUUCAUUUCCUUUUCGUUUCCCUAUAUAUAUCCCCGUUCAUAUCAUCAUUAUCAUGAUGUAUAUUACACAUUCAAACUAAAUGCUCUCUAGCUCUAACCUUGAAACAUCACAUCUUAGAAUAUCGUCUUCUGAUCAAUGGCACUUCCGACGACCAUUAUCACUUGUGUUAGGUAAUGCACUAAAUUAUGCAUUCAAUUAUUGAAAAGAGUGUUAACUAAAAUGCAAAACGUCUUUCUCCUAGAGAUAAUCAUAACUCGAUCACAAUAAUGGGGGAUUAUCUGUGGACUUACCGAACGAAACCAGUCUCUGCCGAUCAUCGUGUAGUCGAAAAUGCGUGCGUGCCCUAGUUGGUCACCAAAAGCCAUCCCAAACAAAACCAGAAGAAUGAGAUCAAGGUAGCAAAUUAAAUGGUACAACUGCAUGCAUGUCGGAGGUGAGUCACGUACUACUGUGGGAGUCCGUCUUAUUCAACUUCAAGGACCAUUAGCUUUGCUUAGGUCCUUUUUCUUGGACCCCUUUUAGCCCACCCCACUCAUCUCGAUCAUCAUCGUCUUCAUUGAAACACAAUCUCGUCAGUAUAUGUGUGGUUUAGAGUCGCAAUCGUUUUGAUCUGAGUCCAAAUCAUUGAGGAGCACUAAGAUGUGAUAUAAGACGCGUGGUUGGGUGAAACACCACUACCCUCUAUGCUCCUUCACUUCUCCAUCGAAUAUUUUAACAAUGAGUUCGAACAAUCAGUAUAACUGGAUCCUUAACUUGUUUAUAUCUUUGUAAGGAGUGUCUGGUUUCGAUUCUAGUCGCGCAUAUAAUGUGUCGGGUGCUUUUGGAUGGAAGAUUAGGGUUCAGCUGUACAUAGAAAUUGAUCGAUCAAACCGAAGUGUUGCAUUAUAUAUGUUAUCGUGUUUCUUUCUCGAUGUGAGCUUUUCUGUUUCUGCAUCACUCCGGCAAAUACGAUUCCGACGUGAAUCAUUUACUGGAAAUUUAUCGCCCAUAAUCAUAGAUUAACCGUACCACUAAUACCUUGCCAACACAAAAUUUACAUGAAUUUGGUUUAAUAUAUGAAAGUCCCUCCGUUUACAUACUUGGACUUGUGGUUUGAUUGCAUACGUAUAGAUCAUAAUUAGUAUAUGAUUAAGACAUAUCUUCCAUUAUUGAAUUCUCAAUUCUGAUUCUUAUCAGGGCCAUGCAUGCAUGUGUAGAGUUAAGAGUUCGAUACAGAUAGUAGUGGAACAUAUAUAUAUGCCAUAUGCAUCCCAUGCCAUCUCUUUCUCCAUCCCAAAUGUAUAUAUUAACGUUUUAUUUCUAACAAAUUAAACAAAGUAACAAAUUAAAUUUUGUGACUCUCAUUCUUCUCUCUAGUUGGCUGCAUCCUUUCUCUUCUGGUGUAGAUUUUUCUUUUUGUGUUGUUCUGUCAGGGUUUGUCUCUCAUAUCAUAUGGUAUGACAUACUUAUUGUAAAUGUGUCUAAUUGUAUGACAUAUGAGGACUUUUGAAGAGGUAAAUGGUCAUUACAUGGUCAUUUAGUUCAUUCUUCAAUCAAUGAUAGCCACACAUUUUGUGAGACAUGCUAUACCAUAUGGUAUAAUUUAGGCAUGCUAUACCAUAUGGUAUAUUAUAAUUUUCCUUUCUACCAAUUAGGUGUUAAUAAUUAUGAUGAAAAGGUUUUUUCUUUCCGGAUAUAUUAUAAUGAGGGAAAAAGUUCCGACCGUUGAUCAACAUCACAUUUUUACUUCAUCAUUAGAUUAAGACAAAGUUUCAUGAAAAGUGUAAAUAAAUAUACUUCUCGAUCUUUCUCUUAUAAUCUAUGGUUUCUGUGGUUAUCAGCACCUCCUUCCAAAAUAAGAUGAAACAGUACAGAGGUAACUCAAAUUUGUUACUGAUUGGCUCUACGCCUCUAUCCUUCAUCAUUGCCUAUAAAUAAUGGAGCUCCGUGGGUCAUUUGGAGAAGCAGUACGUAGGAAACCUUAAUUAUAUGGAAAAGAUGGAGAAAGAUAAUCAUGUCCAUGUUACAAGGAAAAAAGGAGGCUUGCGCACCAUGCCAUUCAUCUUUGGUAAUAUAUGGAGUUCUCUUUCUUCUUCUUCUUCUUCUUCUUCUUCUAUACACUUCUUUCUUUAUUUAUCCAUCCGUUUUAUUUUUCAUGUACGUGAUGGUUUAUUCACUUGUUGUGUUGAACACGAUUUUGGUGCAGCUAAUGAGAUUUGUGAGAAGUUGGCUGUGGUGGGAUUCAAUGCAAACAUGGUGAGCUACUUGACAUCCCAGAUGCAUAUGCCGUUAACACAAGCAGCCAACACCGUCACCAACUUCGGCGGCACCGCUAGCUUGACCCCUUUACUCGGUGCUUUCAUGGCCGAUGCUUACGCCGGACGCUUCUGGACUAUAACAAUUGCCUCCAUUAUUUACACCGUUGUACGUAAUUAACUAAACUCUCUCUCUCUCUCNNNNNNNNNNNNNNNNNNNNCUACUCUCUCUCUCUCUCUCUCUCUCUCUCUCUCUCUCUCUCUCUCUCUCUCGUUACGCUUAUGCAUGAAGAUGAUUAAGUGCACUGAUUAUAGAAAUUAUAAAGGACAUGCAGAACAUAUACUUAAUUAGUGUUAUGUACAAAGAAAACCAAGGUUUUUUGUCCGAAUAUGUAAAAUCAUGUUGAUUUGAGAUAUUCGGACCCAAAGACGUUAGUGAAAUGUUUUUUUUGUUUUGUUUAAAUCUCUAAUAUAUAAAGGCCUUUGAACAAUUUCACACGGUUACAUAUACUUAAUUAGUGUUAUGUAAAAAGAAAACCAAGUUUUUUUGUCUGAAUAUGUAAAAUCAUGUUGAUUUGAGAAAUUCAGACCCAAAUACGUUAGUGAAAUUUUGUUUGGUUUUGUUUAAAUCCCUAAUAUAUAAAGACCUUGAACAAUUUCACACGGUUAUAUAUAAUAUAGUUUGUUCGAUUUUUAAUAUGUAAUUUCCAUACAAGUAAAUAUAGGAUUUGAAAAAGAGACAAAAUGAAGUGUUUGAGUUGCAUGAGUUACCUGUAAGUGAAUGUCCGAAAAUUGAUAAGCUUAUACGUAGUUCAUUUUAUUGAUUUGGUAUGAGUAUGACAUACUAAACGCUCAACUUUUUCUACUAUGCAGGGAAUGAUAAGCUUGACAGUGUCGGCAGUGCUUCCAAAACUGAGGCCUCCCCCAUGUGACUACAACCAAGUGUGCCAAGAAGCCGACGGCGGACAGCUUGCAAUCCUAUACAUCUCUCUCUUACUAGGAGCUCUCGGCUCCGGCGGAAUCCGACCCUGCGUGGUGGCAUUCGGGGCGGACCAGUUUGACGAGAGUGAUCCAAAGCAAAACACCAAGACAUGGAGCUACUUCAACUGGUACUAUUUUGUGAUGGGGUUCUCCAUACUAAUUGCUGUGACAGUGCUUGUGUACAUCCAGGACAAUAUCGGAUGGGGCUGGGGGCUUGGAAUUCCAACUAUAGCUAUGUUCCUUUCGGUUGUUACAUUUUUGAUUGGGUACCCUCUUUAUCGGAACUUGGAUCCGGCCGGGAGUCCGUUUACCCGGUUGAUACAAGUGAUUGUGGCUGCUUACAAGAAGAGACAGAUACCUAUGGUUUCUGAUCCUGGCUUGCUGUAUCAGAAUGAUGAACUUGACGCUCCUAUUUCUAUGGGUGGCAAGCUUCUCCAUACCAAGCAUAUGCAGUAAGUGCUCUACUUCAGUUCUUAGUCUCAUCAUCUGCUAUAUAUAUUGAAACAGAAUCAUUUCAACACAAACAGAAAAUAUACUAGAAAAGCAUGGAAAAAACUUUUAUGAAUUCUUUACAGUUUCAUAUAUUUCGAAUCUUAAAUCAUUACCUGAGUAAAACAUGUCAGACUAUGAAAUAUCAUCGUACACAUAAAACCGACAUCGGGUUGUGGCUAGCUGAUAGAGCUGCCUUAUCACUAUCCACUGUAGCUGGCCAAUUUGUCAUUGUUAGGUGGUUCUGGAUUCAUAUUGCAGAAUGCAGAUGAGGACUAAAUCAUUUUGUCCAUGUAAAUAAUUCAUGGCAAGAAAAUAAGGAUCGAUGUAGGGACCGUGAUAUUGAUCCUAUUUUCGUGACCAUACAGCACCACAAACUUUGGUUUCUAUCAUUAAUUUUUGGUCUGUUCACUUAGGAACAAAGAAAGCUUGUGUCCUCUACUCCAUUAUCAGACUCAGUCAGUCAUCCCCCACCUCCACAGACCACAGUUCAUAAGGACGCAACAUUAAUAGCCAAGAGCAUGUAAUCUGGUCAUCGUUGCUAGUUUCGAAUACUUGUUGGCUUAAUUUGCUACUUCAUAUGUGUCACAGAUCGUAUAAUAAGCUACUCUCAUGGACCAGAGACCAUCGGUACAAUAAUUGAACAAGAACAAUAUAUUGAUUGCUUUUAUCCCCAAAACACCCAAAUUUAGUGUCGAUGUUUUUGAUUCAAAAUGUUUCAUAGAGAUGAGAGAUUAAGGUAACUAGUUGUUUGCGUUUUUACUUAGUCUUGGUAAACAAAUUUCACGAUCUAAUUGUUUAAUUAGUAAUCCCAGAUUUUUAACUAGCCAAUUAAGAUUGUUCUUAUUGCAAAAGAGUAAUAACAUGUUCGUGUGGCUAAACAAUGCAGAUUUUUUGACAAGGCAGCCAUUGUGGUAGAUCAAGACGAAGUUAAGUCACCCAACUUAUGGAGGAUCAGCACCGUCCAUCGCGUCGAAGAACUGAAAUCUGUGAUCAGAAUGGGACCGAUAUGGGCAUCAGGCAUACUCCUAAUCACAGCCUAUUCCCAACAAAGCACUUUCUCACUCAGCCAAGCAAAAACCAUGAACAGACACCUCACAAAGUCCUUUGAAAUCCCAGCGGCCUCCAUGUCAGUGUUCACCAUGGUCCCUAUGCUCUUAACAAUCGCAUUCUACGACCGAGUUUUCAUACCCCUAGCCAGAAAGGUGACAGGUUUGGACAGGGGGAUCACAUUCCUACACAGAAUGGGAAUCGGAUUCGUCAUUUCCGUAUUGGCUACUUUCGUCGCUGGAUUCGUAGAGUUGAAGCGAAAGAAGGCAGCAGUGGAUCAUGGUCUUGUGAAUCAAUCACAAUCCAUAAUCCCCAUUUCAGUGUUUUGGCUUGUGCCUCAAUACAGCCUUCAUGGGAUGGCUGAAGCUUUCAUGUCUAUCGGGCACCUCGAGUUUUUCUACGACCAGGCACCAGAGAGCAUGAGGAGCACUGCUGCCGCACUGUUUUGGACUGCGAUAUCUGCCGGGAAUUAUUUGAGCACCCUCUUGGUUUCCUUGGUGCACAAGUUUAGUGCCGGGACUAAUGGAUCCAACUGGCUACCGGAUAAUAAUUUGAACAAGGGGAAGUUGGAAAACUUUUACUGGUUGAUCACCUUGUUACAAGUUGCUAAUCUGAUUUACUACCUUUGGUGCGCUAAAAUAUAUACGUUUAAGCCGAUUCAGGUGAAAGGGAAAGAUGAAGCUGAGUCUGAAGGAAAGGGUGUGGAGCUUGCUAAUCGGGUUUAGAAUUUUAGAGGGAUUAUCAAUUAGACGUAGGUUAGUCGUAUAGUUUAAUGGUUGGUACUUAGCCUACAGCAACCAAUGAGAAUAUUGUGUACUUCGAAUAAUGCAACCCUUUGUACGUAUGAAAAUUAUGUGUUGGCCAAUAUAUAUGGAACUGCAAAACAUUUCAUCUUUUAAGACCUAACCAUACAUGCUGAAGAACUUUCGUCACUAGAACGAAAAUAAAACCUCUUAAAUCCUAAACCCUCAAAGUAACUGUGGUCUUAGAUCUCUCGACCAAUUCCUUCACAUUCAUCAACCGGCAGUUCAACUUGGUUCUUGACGGUGACCAUACCGUCAUGCUCACGAAAUCUAGUUCGGGAAGCUCCAUCAACAACACAUCGUAUUUGGUGCACCGCCUUGUCACCCUCCUCAACUUGGCGUUGCAGUAUAGGAAAGCCCAAUUGUUCUAACCAUCUCAAUGACUAUGUCACUACAAUCCUUGUCGAUGACGAUGAACAACCGGCAUUUUGUGAUUUUUGAAUAUUGUUGUUCAAAAAUCAAGAUCGAGUUGACGACUUAUUUACUGGUAAAAACUGAUUACAGAUGAAAUAAAAUUUAUCCAGAUACCCUAGGCGAUGAGUAUUACAAUUGACCUUUAAUAUCGAGUUCUAUCAUUUCUAUUUCUAUGUAUGAAUGCUAUACAGUUAUUUACGUAGUUGACUCCAAUGUCUACACCUAAAUAUUUUUCUCAAUAAAAGAAACGCAAAUACUUUUAUCAGUAUAUUUACAAAUUAUGUAUCUAGAUUAAACCCAUAACAAGGAAUUGCAUAUGUUGCAACGUAUCAUUAUGAAUGCACAAGUUAGACAAUUAUAUCGCGUACCGUCCGUAUCAUAUUAUGUUCAUUGUUUUGGAUCAUAAAAACUGAUUUUACAUUUGUCGUAAAUUAAAGAUGACUAGGGGCACAUCUACUAGGCCUAAAACAACUUUGUUAUCAUCUUAUCAUAGACUUGAUCGGGGCCUCUAACAGCAGACUGUAUAUUGGACUCAAGUGCCUCUUUUACAAAUUACCGUAUGCUGUCAAAACUAACAUAAAGAAAUGUUUCUAUCUUGAAUUUAAUUGAGACUUGCAGUAGGGCUUAAAUAAAAAAUCAUUUGGAUUUGCUCUCUGCAAAACUUGCUAUUAAAACUGUUGUUAGCACAGAUAAGCAGCGACAAUCACAGAUAAGUAGCGACAUCUACGGUAUGAAAGAAAAAUUCUUACUAGCAAACAUGUAAAACUUAGGGCUCAUAAUCACAUUCACAGUUUCUCAAGCAUUUGACCUCAACAGGUAAAGUUGGAACUCUAACUCAAGCCACGACAUGACAAAAAACUGGCACCAUUCAGAAUAAGAUCAUAAGCAAUAUUGUGCCAUCUUUCUCAAUAUACUCGGUUACCAAUAGUUUGGGACAG
RNAcentral lists this long non-coding RNA (21940 nucleotides) under Fragaria vesca (wild strawberry). RNAcentral's name for it is "long non-coding RNA (FVES_LNC002217)". Lineage: Eukaryota; Viridiplantae; Streptophyta; Magnoliopsida; Rosales; Rosaceae. The record is from RNAcentral.